UGCGUCCAAAAGAUCGUCCUU
Molecule: microRNA, 21 nt
Filed under: Ectocarpus siliculosus
Lineage: Eukaryota; Phaeophyceae; Ectocarpales; Ectocarpaceae
Description: esi-miR3458-3p
Source: miRBase by way of RNAcentral